UUUCCGUAGGUGAACCUGCGGAAGGAUCAUUAAAGGACGCCCCGUUUUUUGAAAUGGGUAAUUCUAAACCGUGUAUACAUACCUUUGUUGCUUUGGCAGGCCGCCCCUCAGGGCGUCGGCUCCGGCUGACUGCGCCUGCCAGAGGACCCAAACUCUUUUGUUUAGUGAUGUCUGAGUACUAUAUAAUAGUUAAAACUUUCAACAACGGAUCUCUUGGUUCUG
This 222-nucleotide unclassified non-coding RNA is filed under the name plant metagenome. Its description in RNAcentral is "partial contains small subunit ribosomal RNA, internal transcribed spacer 1, and 5.8S ribosomal RNA". The record is from RNAcentral.